Pristis pectinata (smalltooth sawfish) is the source of this 365-nucleotide long non-coding RNA. RefSeq lists it as uncharacterized. The transcript has 3 exons. Lineage: Eukaryota; Metazoa; Chordata; Chondrichthyes; Rhinopristiformes; Pristidae. The record is from RefSeq and is a predicted model, not a curated record.
CGACCGGGGGCCGCAGCUGCCCAGCCUGAGGGCAGCGCAGCGGAGGAUCAGCUGCUCGGGGGCCAGGUGCCCCAGCUCGGCCGCCGAUCCCCCGGGUAUCCUGGGCCUGGACCGCAGGCACCCAGGGUGGCGGAGAUUCCAGCAUCUGCAGUGUCGUGUGUCUGCAGUGCCCAAGCUGUGAACGGCUUUGUUCAGAAACGUCACUUGGACCUCAUUUAACAGAAUAAAGUGGCCCACAGCAGAUACAUGUCACAUCAGAUGGGAGAGGGAUACUUGCUGUCUCACCAGACUCUCGAGGACCUGGAUAGAUGGUGCAGGGCUUCCCAUGCACCUGCACUGUUGUGAGGCUUUCUUGGAAAGAUGGA